CCUAAGGUAGCGAAAUUCCUUGUCGGGUAAGUUCCGACCCGCACGAAAGGCGUAAUGAUUUGGGCACUGUCUCAACGAGAGACUCGGUGAAAUUUUAGUACCUGUGAAGAUGCAGGUUACCCGCGACAGGACGGAAAGACCCCAUGGAGCUUUACUGUAGUUUGAUAUUGAGUACCUGUAAGUCAUGUACAGGAUAGGUAGGAGCCAUUGAAAUAGGGACGCUAGUUUCUAUUGAGGCGUUGUUGGGAUACUACCCUUGACUUAUGGUUACUCUAACCCGCUGGCAUAAUCGGCCAGGGAGACAGUGUCUGACGGACAGUUUGACUGGGGCGGUCGCCUCCUAAAGAGUAACGGAGGCGCUCAAAGGUUGGCUCAGAUUGGUUGGAAAUCAAUCGUAGAGUGUAAAGGUAAAAGCCAGCUUGACUGCGAGAGCUACAACUCGAGCAGGUAGGAAACUAGGACUUAGUGAUCCGGUG
This 476-nucleotide ribosomal RNA is filed under the name Lactococcus lactis. Its description in RNAcentral is "partial 23S ribosomal RNA". It matches the Rfam family "Bacterial large subunit ribosomal RNA", at positions 1950 to 2425 of the family's 2925-position model. Lineage: Bacteria; Bacillati; Bacillota; Bacilli; Lactobacillales; Streptococcaceae. The record is from RNAcentral.